UACGAAGGGUGCAAGCGUUACUCGGAAUUACUGGGCGUAAAGCGUGCGUAGGCGGUUUGUUAAGUCCGUUGUGAAAGCCCUGGGCUCAACCUGGGAAUUGCAGUGGAUACUGGCGAGCUAGAGUGCGGUAGAGGAUGGUGGAAUUCCCGGUGUAGCGGUGAAAUGCGUAGAGAUCGGGAGGAACACCCGUGGCGGAAGCGGCCACCUAGCCCGCACCUGACGCUGAGGCGCGACAGCGUGGGGAGCGAACGGG
This 253-nucleotide ribosomal RNA is filed under the name uncultured bacterium. RNAcentral's name for it is "partial 16S ribosomal RNA". It matches the Rfam family "Bacterial small subunit ribosomal RNA", at positions 524 to 776 of the family's 1533-position model. The record is from RNAcentral.